GAUAUUUUUUAGUAAUUUUCUCUUUUCUGGUUAUUUUUAAUUCAUUUAAAAUAGUUUUUGAUAUCCAAAAAAUACAAAAAAAAAAUUCCAACCUCUUUGAAUGAUGAUAGAUCUAUGAAAAAUAUUCUCAUCAAUUUAUUGAUUAAUUUGAGAUUUAUUUGAGAUUUUAGUUCAAUUAGGUUAUUUUUAUGCAUUUUUAAUUGAUUUAAAAUAGUUUCU
RNAcentral lists this long non-coding RNA (219 nucleotides) under Lathyrus oleraceus (garden pea). RNAcentral describes it as "Pisum sativum (pea) long non-coding RNA (PSAT_LNC034273)". The record is from RNAcentral. Lineage: Eukaryota; Viridiplantae; Streptophyta; Magnoliopsida; Fabales; Fabaceae.